RNAcentral lists this transfer RNA (72 nucleotides) under Bos taurus (domestic cattle). It matches the Rfam family "tRNA". Rfam says of the family: Transfer RNA (tRNA) molecules are approximately 80 nucleotides in length. Their secondary structure includes four short double-helical elements and three loops (D, anti-codon, and T loops). Lineage: Eukaryota; Metazoa; Chordata; Mammalia; Artiodactyla; Bovidae. RNAcentral also lists the same sequence under 5 other names. The record is from Rfam by way of RNAcentral.
UCCCUGGUGGCUCAGAUGGUAAAGUGUCUCCCUAUGAUGCAGGAGACCCAGGUUCGAUUCCUGGGUGGGGAA